GACGAACGCUGGCGGCGUGCUUAACACAUGCAAGUCGAGCGAUGAAGUUCCUUCGGGAAUGGAUUAGCGGCGGACGGGUGAGUAACACGUGGGUAACUUGCCUCAUAGAGGGGAAUAGCCUUUCGAAAGGAAGAUUAAUACCGCAUAAGAUUGUAGUACCGCAUGGUACAGCAAUUAAAGGAGUAAUCCGCUAUGAGAUGGACCCGCGUCGCAUUAGCUAGUUGGUGAGGUAACGGCUCACCAAGGCGACGAUGCGUAGCCGACCUGAGAGGGUGAUCGGCCACAUUGGGACUGAGACACGGCCCAGACUCCUACGGGAGGCAGCAGUGGGGAAUAUUGCACAAUGGGGGAAACCCUGAUGCAGCAACGCCGCGUGAGUGAUGACGGUCUUCGGAUUGUAAAACUCUGUCUUCAGGGACGAUAAUGACGGUACCUGAGGAGGAAGCCACGGCUAACUACGUGCCAGCCGCCGCGGUAA
RNAcentral lists this ribosomal RNA (478 nucleotides) under uncultured bacterium. Its description in RNAcentral is "partial 16S ribosomal RNA". It matches the Rfam family "Bacterial small subunit ribosomal RNA", at positions 28 to 523 of the family's 1533-position model. The record is from RNAcentral.